CCUACGGGAGGCAGCAGUGGGGAAUAUUGGACAAUGGGGGAAACCCUGAUCCAGCGACGCCGCGUGAGUGAAGAAGUAUUUCGGUACGUAAAGCUCUAUCAGCAGGAAAGAAAAUGACGGUACCUGACUAAGAAGCCGCGGCUAACUACGUGCCAGCAGCCGCGGUAAUACGUAGGGGGCAAGCGUUAUCCGGAUUUCCUGGGUGGAAAGGGAGCGUAGACGGCAGCGCAAGUCUGGAGUGAAAUGCCGGGGCCCAACCCCGGAACUGCUCUGGAAACUGUGAAGCUGGAGUGCAGGAGAGGUAAGCGGAAUUCCUGGUGUGGCGGUGAAAUGCGUAGAUAUCAGGAGGAACACCGGCGGCGAAGGCGGCUUACUGGACUGUAACUGACGUUGAGGCUCGAAGGCGUGGGGAGCAAACAGGAUUAGAUACCCUGGUAGUC
RNAcentral lists this ribosomal RNA (440 nucleotides) under uncultured bacterium. RNAcentral's name for it is "partial 16S ribosomal RNA". It matches the Rfam family "Bacterial small subunit ribosomal RNA", at positions 338 to 795 of the family's 1533-position model. The record is from RNAcentral.